This 1209-nucleotide ribosomal RNA is filed under the name Triticum aestivum (bread wheat). Its description in RNAcentral is "partial small subunit ribosomal RNA". Lineage: Eukaryota; Viridiplantae; Streptophyta; Magnoliopsida; Poales; Poaceae. The record is from RNAcentral.
AUGGAACACGUUGAGAAUCCUGUUGAGGGUAACAAUGGAACUCCUAUGAGGAGUAAGAGACAGAGGACUGCAAAGUCUUUUGGUGAUGAUUUCAUUGUGUACCUCGUGGAUGACACACCCAGGACUAUUUCAGAAGCCUAUGCAUCUCCUGAUGCUGACUACUGGAAGGAAGCUGUACGUAGCGAGAUGGAUUCCAUCUUAGCUAACGGUACCUGGGAGAUCACUGGCCGUCCUUAUGGGUGCAAACCUGUAGGAUGUAAGUGGGUGUUCAAGAAGAAGCUUAGACCUGAUGGUACGAUUGAAAAGUACAAGGCACGACUUGUGGCCAAGGGUUAUACCCAGAAAGAAGGUGAAGACUUCUUUGAUACUUACUCACCCGUGGCUAGACUGACAACAAUUCAGGUGCUACUAUCACUGGCUGCCUCACAUGGUCUUCUCGUUUAUCAAAUGGACGUUAAGACGGCUUUCCUCAAUGGAGAGUUGAAGGAAGAAAUUUACAUGGAUCAGCCAGAUGGUUUUGUAGUACCUGGUCAAGAAGGAAAGGUGUGCAAGUUAUUAAAGUCUUUAUAUGGCCUUAAACAAGCUCCUAAGGAGUGGCAUGAGAAGUUCGAAAGAACAUUAAUUGCUGUCAGCUUUGUAGUAAACGAUGGUGACAAGUGCGUGUACUAUCGCUAUGGUGGGGGCGAAGGAGUUAUUCUUUGUUUGUAUGUCGACGACAUAUUGAUCUUUGGAACCAAACUUGAUUUAAUCAAGGAGGUUAAGGAUUUCUUAUCUCGCUGUUUUGAGAUGAAGGAUGUAGGAGUAGCUGAUGUUAUCUUAAACAUCAAGCUGUUGAGAGAUGAGAAUGGUGGGAUCACACUGCUUCAGUCUCAUUAUGUGGAAAAGGUCUUGAGUCGUUUUGGGUAUAGCGACUGCACGCUUUCUCCAACUCCAUAUGAUGCUAGUGUGUUGCUUCGAAAGAAUCGACGGAUUGCUAGAGAUCAACUGAGGUAUUCUCAGAUUAUUGGCUCGCUUAUGUAUUUGGCAAUUGCCACGAGGCCUGACAUCUCUUUUGCUGUGAGCAAGCUGAGUCGGUUUGUGUCAAAACCGGGAGAUGAUCAUUGGCAUGCGCUUGAGAGAGUUAUGCGCUAUUUGAAAGGCACCGCAAGCUAUGGGAUUCUCUACACCGGGUAUCCAAGGGUACUGGAGGGUUAUAGUGACUCAAACUAG